Non-coding RNA from Thunnus maccoyii (southern bluefin tuna), 397 nucleotides. The record is from the annotation of a RefSeq genome assembly. NCBI's taxonomy places the organism in Eukaryota, Metazoa, Chordata, Actinopteri, Scombriformes, Scombridae.
AUGACUUUGAUCUCCGUCCUCAUCUGGACUCUCCUCUGCUGCUGCUUCACAGAGUCCAGAGGCCAGAUCACAGUGACUCAGUCUGCAGCAGUGACAUCUGCUCUGGGAGGCUCCGCAACCAUCAGCUGUAGGACCAGUCAGGAUGUUCUUAUUGACAGCAUCGACCACUACUUAGCCUGGUACCAACAGAGAGAUGGAGAAACUCCUAAACUGCUCAUUUAUUUCGCUAAUAAUCGAGCAUCAGGGAUUCCAGAUCAUUUUACAGGCAGUGGAUCAAAAUCUGACUUCACUCUGACCAUCAGUGGAGUUCAGGCUGAAGAUGCAGCAGUUUAUUACUGUAAGAGUUAUCACUAUAUCAACAGUCAGUAUGUGUUCACACAGUGAAAAACCGUCGUAC